UCAGAAAGCAUUUUCUGCAUACUGCUGGUU
RNAcentral lists this non-coding RNA (30 nucleotides) under Homo sapiens (human). Lineage: Eukaryota; Metazoa; Chordata; Mammalia; Primates; Hominidae. The record is from RNAcentral.